RNAcentral lists this long non-coding RNA (1737 nucleotides) under Piliocolobus tephrosceles (Ugandan red Colobus). Its description in RNAcentral is "lncRNA (ENSPTEG00000007596.1)". Lineage: Eukaryota; Metazoa; Chordata; Mammalia; Primates; Cercopithecidae. The record is from RNAcentral.
AUAAACUUAACAAAUUAAACAAACUAAAUAAACGUAUUUUUCAUUUGAACUUAUUUAAUGAUAACAUCUUUAAACAGUUUAUUAUAAAUUCUAUCAGUGUGAAUCACAAAUAUAUUUUUGAUGGUUUAAAAAAACACAUAUUUAUUUAUUUAAAUUUGAUUAAUCAUAUAGAAACAAAAUAUAUGUUUUAUGAAAAUAAUUAUAAUUUAAAAAAUUUAAUUUAUUAUUUAUAUUUAAAUAAAAUUAUUAAAUUCUACGAUGCAAAUAUUUUUACCUAUGAAAAAAAUUUAUAUGUCUUAAAACGAAUUAUUUUUUUGCAUAAUACUAUUAGUUUUAACCAGCAAAACCAACAGAAAAAUUAUUUAACAAAUGAACAAUGUUUAUUAUAUACUUUUUCAAAUUAUUUUUUUGCUAGUUGUGAAACUGAUGGUCACAUAAUAGCGCAGCAUAAGAAGGCUAUUAAAAAUGGUAAACAUUGUAAAAAUGGUAAAAAUGGAACAGUACAAGACGGAAAAAACGAAUACGUUCAACAUAACAAGAAUGAUCAUUUAGAUUUAAAAAAUAUGUCAAAAAGUGAUAUUGUGGAUGGGAAACGUUACAAGUUAAAUAAAAACAACGAGAGGAAAAUAUAUGGAAGUAGUUUAUUACAUUCUCUAAUCAGUGCAAAAAUUAGAACAGAAAAGACAUAUGGAAAUUUAAGUGAAACUAAAAUAGAAAUGACAAAUAAAGAUAAAAAAAAAAAAUUUAAAGAUGUUACAAAUGCUAACUUAAGCAAUAUCACUAAUGAUUGUGAUUCUAAAAAUGUAAAUAAAAUAUUAAAUAAUAAAAAAGAUGCUUUAUACAAUAAUAUGAACCAAAGUUCUAUUAACCAUAAUCCGUAUUUAGAAAAAAUAGAUUAUAAUAAUAAAAAUAUAAAUUAUACAAUAAGCUUGAGUGACAUAAAAUCAUUUAUUAAUAUUAACAGUAAUGUUACAUCAAAUAAUAGUGCUAUCGAAAUGGUAAGUAGAGAAGAUUAUAAAAAUCAAGUUACAUUGAUGUUAGAUACUACUAAGGCACAUAGCAGUAGGCGCGAUCGUAGCAACAAAUGGAGCAGUAACAUUAACAAAAAUGUACAAGACACUUUCAAUGAUAUCUGUGUGGAUAAUAAACGUUUAAACAAGAGCUACAACAGUUAUAAAAAAAAUGAUAACUUAAUGAAACAGUUUUUGAAAGAAAAAAAUAAUAAAAGUAUGUUUAAUGUUAAUAAUCGGCGUGUAUAUGCAAAAAAAGAAGAAACUGAACUUUUACUAGGAUUAAAGGACAACCACAUUAAUAACAAAAAGAAGAACAUAUUAGGUGGAGACGAUAACAACAAAUGCGACACUGACAAAUGCGAUACUGACAAAUGCGAUACUGACAAAUGCGACACUAAUAAAUGCGACACUAAUAAAUGCGACACUAAUAAAUGCGACACUAAUAAAUGCGAUAAUAAUAAAUGCGACACUAAUAACAAUUUUGACAUUUUUUAUAAUUUUAAAAACAACGAAUUGAAGGUACUAAUUUAUAAUUUUUUAUAUAUCUACAUUUUCGACGAAUGUAUAUAUAUGAAUACACAUAAAAAAGACAUAAAUGAAUAUUUUAAUUUUUCAAAUAUAUUAAAAAAAAAACAGAAAGUGCGAUAUAGAUUUCAUAACUUGUUUCACAGAUCCAAGAUGGACGUUGGUGAAAAUGUCGCUAUUUAUAAAAAGUACAUAAAAG